AAAAAGCAUAUUGAACCCGUGGUGAACUUUGGCUGACAGGAAGCCAAUACUUUUUGAAUGAGUCGAUCCCUUGAAAGUACCGGUGUUUUCGCUCACAAUUGUUCGCGGCGUUCACAAUUGUGGAUGUGAGGAGGGCAAACGUUUGGGGUUGCUGAAGAUUGGAGCGGCAUCAGCCACAGAGGCAAGCCCAAUACCGGCGUCGACACACACCUGGAGAGACUCAUCAAUGCUGGCUGGCUGGCCAACCCUCGAUUGGGGUUGCCUUCAAGGGAAUCUUCCAUGUCGCUCACCUUUUUGUUGAGCUUCAGCCAUGUGACGUAGCCUUUGCUGUCGAUGUACUGAAGGCCGAAGAACCAAACCUCCCUCAGGCCAACAGUCUUCACCACCUGGACAACAAGGGCACCAAGAUGUAUUAGUAAUUAUGGAUCAGAGAUUUUCCAACUCAUCAGUCAAGGACACUUCCAAAGCGAUUGGAGUGAGCUUCUUCCAGCUUUUGCAGCAACAGUACCUGCAUAGAUGAUCAAUUCCGAGUCACUCUGAAGCUGACAAUCUGAUGCCCUAAUUCGACAGGGGCCGAGAGAUUACAAAAUGGAGAUUGAAGGACAUUUUCCACCAACACUGUCGUAUAGCUCGGCACCUCCGAAUCACGUCACGUGGUGUAUUUUUAUCCUGCAGAAUUUGAUUAUCCAACAGGGGACAAGAUCAGCUAAUGACUGAUUUAAGAUGACAUGCAUUGUCACCGGCACGGGUGUGUGACGUGGCUGGUGAAAAGCAGAACCCAUAAAAAAAAAAAAAAUCGAAAGCCUCCCGUUUCAUUUGUUUUCCUUCCUCUACAUCACUGAAACCUUUCAGGGCCCGGAACAAUGCUGAAAGCCGCCCUUUGCCUCGUGUGUGAGUGCACACACACCAAUAUACAGGCACAAAGAGAUCUUUGUCAGUCUCGUAAUAGAACCAAAAGCGACCCAAGCACCUACUGGCACACAUUGCCAGUGUCGCUCUUGCUUUGAUGGAACAACAAAAGAUGACUCAGAAGGAAAGAUUGGGGGGUUUUUGUGUGUGUGUGUGUGGGUGGGGGGGAUAUUUUUUUUUUUUAUUCUGUACUGUAUGUAAUAUUACAAGAAAGGGUCCAGAAUUUUAUAUAUUCAAUUUUAAUUCUGGGCUUCCUGGUGGAAUUUGCAUGUUGUCCACAUGCAAGUCAAAUGAAUUCGAUGAUCUUGUAUUGACACAUUUUUCUGUGUGUGUGUGUGUGUGUGUGUGUGCGUGCUCACCUGGUCAAAGAGCUGCUUGCCUGUUGUAUUGGGCUGGAUGGCAAACUCCAACUCAGCAUCCAUGGUGGUAACGCGGACGUUCGUCUGCAGGACAAAGAUGACAUCAUAAAAAGUCCUAAUACACAAACGGGUUUGGCACAGGUGUGUGUGCGUUGAGGGUGAGAGUAGGAGAACGGGGCCAUGUGCUGCCUUUGAGGUUAUUUUGUGUGCAAGGCUGCAGCUUGUUGAUAAGGUUUCCACGAUAUGCAAACAAGGCAUACGUGAAGCGUUGUUGGCUACUCGGGGAGGAACUAUUGAAUGAAUUCGGGCCCCAACUCCUUUCUCUUGCACCAACACCAUAAAUUUGUAAUAUUGCUUCACCAGAAGGCGCUAUUAAGACAGGCCCGGCUAGUUUGCUGCCUCAACGGGUCAGUGAGCUAAGCGCCAAGCCAUUUUGAGUAUCUCCAGUGCAUCACUUCUUUGAAUGCCCCGUGGCGGCUAAUCUGGAUCACAGUGCAAGAUGUCAGCGGACAGACGCUGCCAAGCAGGCGGUCAGGCCGGAUUAACCACGUUGCCUUUCGGGGUUGACCACCUCCAGAUUGUGGCAACACAAUGGAGGCCACUGAGGAAAAUUGAAGUCUGCAUUUUGUGCUUUCUCUUGUGCCUUCUUGCCUCGUAACAAUGUCGGCCAAGGCGUGCGUUUGGUGUUAAGUGCAGCGGGACCGCCUGGCGACAUUGUUUGUGUGUGUCCGUGUCCAGACUCAGACAGCCAUAAUUAAAAGCUAAGCUGGUUAACAGGCUUGCAAGGGCAGCAGCGGGAAACUUAUUCACCUCAUCCUCGCACGCACGCACGCACGCACGCUCACGUCGUUAUGCAUUCGACUUCAGGGUAUUUUUUAAAUGAAAAUUUGAAUCUUUAUUUCUUGUCAUUUUACAUGAAGUCUACUUUGUCAAGUGAUUUUUUUUUCCCCCUCAUGUUUUUGCUAAUGUAAAGUACACCUUUUAAAAAGUACCUUAUGUUUGCUUUUUAUUCACCGAAAAGUACUAUUACAGUAUUAUUGCCACGUUUGUGUUUCCUUUUGUAGUUUUUAACACAAUUUUUUUUUUGCAUGAGCUGUAUUAACACACCUUGCAAGCAAAUGCCGCUGCAUUACAUCAGCUCUGUCGGCCGCAUCACGUAAGCAAGAGGAAAUGAUCAAGUUGCUCUUGGUGCGUGUGGUGUGUGUGUGGUGUGUGUGUGUGAAGCGUUGCAUUGUGUGACGCUCGCAGGCUUUAUAAUAAAUGAAACAUGAGAUUAAGAUAAGAGGGGGACCAGAUGAUGGUCAUUAAAUUCAAGUGAACACGCACAAAGGAUUUAAGUGCAAAAACUUGGCUAAAAGAAAAAAUGAUUACAUGACUUAAAUUUAAAAAAAUGCCAAUAAAACAUACAAAAAGUGGUUAAGUCAUUAAUUUUCCUGUUCUAUUAAUGGCCUGACAUGCAGCUAACAAAGCUAAGCUAAGGACGGAGACGUGUUUUGAACAAGCGCGACUGCUGCAAGACGCCAAAGCGCACAGAGCAGGCGGUGAAAAGGUCGUGUGUGUUUGCGUAGGGGUCACCAGGGGAUAAUGUAACCAGACUAGCAGUUUUCCCUCAGGGCGCCAUUGGAUAUGGCAGGUGAACUUAAAAAGAAAAAAGUGCCUCUCUCACUCGCUUUCCCUUCACAGCCUUUCUCGCUCUUUGUGGUAAAAAAAAAAAAUCAUUUCGAGCAUAUCGUCAUACUCCUGUGAAUAAUUAUUGAUUACAUAAAUAAAGAAAAAUGUAUUUUUCGACUAUUUUAACUUGUCAUGAUUUGCCGGAACCCUCGUUUGUGCACUACGCGGUGGAGAAACUCACCGGCUUGGGCAUCUUCAUCCUCUCUCAGGUUGUCUUCUGCUUCUGAAAAAAAGAGAAAGAAGUUGUCCUUCGUCUUCCUGCCAACGACAAAACGCACAACGGCGUCAAUAAUGGAACAAAAAAAGUUUGGAACUUGACCAAAGAGUCGUACAGCUAAAGCUUUAGGAAGAAAGGAGAGUGACUUCAAUUUGACACCUUCCUUUUAGGACAAGUCCUGAAGGUAAAUGUGGCCUAGAACAGGAAACUACAGAGCCGGCCGGCCGGCCGUCUCUGUCGUGUUACAGCCGACAGUAUUGAAAUAUCACCUAUCUUUGUGUUUUAUUAUACUUUGAAUAAUUUGACUCGUAAUUAAAAAAUGUUUCUAUUAUACAUUUAAAAUGUGGAUUUUCAUCACUUUUUACAAAAAUCAGUCCAGUCGGUCCACUAAACAGACUCGACUUGUGUAAUUUUGUACCACUGACUUGCUUUGUAAUCACAUUUGGCAGGAACGAUGUUGCCAAUCGGCUUUGUUCCGCAUCAAUUUAAUCAUUUUAAUGUCCGGGGCUUUAUGGCAACACACCUACGGUGGAACACAGUGUGCUAGUGUAUGUCUUUAUUGAAACACAGAGUGUCUAUGUAAAAAAAAUAUAUAUAUAUAUAACAUUACAGGGAAGAAAGGUCAGGCUAUGAUUUACAUAAUCAUCCCAAAUUUUUAAAUCUUCUCUUUUCUUUCUAAUAAAUAUAUUAUGCGGUAAUUUAUUUGAACAGAAAAAAAUGUUAUAUUUCAAGAAUAUUCUAUAUAUAUAUUUGCUAUAGAAUUGCUUGUGUGGUGGCAACGGUGUACGAGGCAGUUGAGUCGAGUCUCAACACUUUUCAUUUCCGCUGACACUUCCUGCUUCAACUUUGGUCUAGUGUUCUAGUACUUUUUGUUAAUAUACAAUACAUAUAAAUCAUCAGAUGAACAAAAUAACUGGUGUGUGACUCGACUGGCUUAUGAAUAUAUUUCUGAGAAGAGCACUUUACUCGAUUAGUAUUGGAAAUCUUGUUUUUGUUAAGUGUUUGACUUCAUGUUAAAAAAAAAAAAAAACUUUACAAUGGGACUUGUGUAGCUAAGCAGAUAUGCAGCUGAAAAUGCGCCAAAGUUGGCAAUGUUUUUUAUAUUGUGACUUCAAUCUGUGAAACUUCCUAUUCAUAAAAUUGUCUCCCCCACCAGAAGAUUAUGGUUUCAUUCUCGCAAGCAAGUAAUUUUAGGGAAUAAAGUAAAAACUGUCAAUUGUGUGCAAAAUUAAA
Molecule: long non-coding RNA, 4389 nt
Organism: Syngnathus typhle (broad-nosed pipefish)
Lineage: Eukaryota; Metazoa; Chordata; Actinopteri; Syngnathiformes; Syngnathidae
Exons: 5
Source: RefSeq, a predicted model, not a curated record